RNAcentral lists this non-coding RNA (35 nucleotides) under unclassified sequences. RNAcentral's name for it is "DUF805b RNA". It matches the Rfam family "DUF805b RNA". Rfam says of the family: Bacteroidetes, Chlorobi (1 example), Proteobacteria. Lineage (Flavobacteria) The record is from RNAcentral.
AUGGAGUAUUCCGAAAAUCCAGAACAGAGUAGGAA